Molecule: transfer RNA, 85 nt
Filed under: Felis catus (domestic cat)
Lineage: Eukaryota; Metazoa; Chordata; Mammalia; Carnivora; Felidae
Rfam family: tRNA
About the family: Transfer RNA (tRNA) molecules are approximately 80 nucleotides in length. Their secondary structure includes four short double-helical elements and three loops (D, anti-codon, and T loops).
Source: Rfam by way of RNAcentral
GCCUGAGUGGCUCAGUUGGUUAAGCAUCUGACUUCAGCUCAGGUCAUGAUCUCACGAUACAUGAGUUCGAGCCCCACAUCAGGCU